AUACGUAGGUGGCAAGCGUUGUCCGGAAUUAUUGGGCGUAAAGCGCAUGUAGGCGGUUUGGUAAGUCGGUCGUGAAAAUGCGGUGCUUAACGCCGUAUGGCGAUUGAAACUGCUGAACUUGAGUGCAGGAGAGGAAAGGGGAACUCCCAGUGUAGUGGUGAAAUGCGUAGAUAUUGGGAAGAACACCGGUGGCGAAGGCGCCUUUCUGGACUGUGUCUGACGCUCAGAUGCGAAAGCCAGGGUAGCGAACGGGAUUAGAUACCCCGGUAGUCCUGGCCGUAAACGAUGGGUACUAGGUGUGGGAGGUAUCGACUCCUUCCGUGCCGGAGUUAACGCAAUAAGUACCCCGCCUGGGGAGUACGGCCGCAAGGCUUAAACUCAAAUGAAUUGACGGGG
This 396-nucleotide ribosomal RNA is filed under the name uncultured bacterium. Its description in RNAcentral is "partial 16S ribosomal RNA". It matches the Rfam family "Bacterial small subunit ribosomal RNA", at positions 523 to 918 of the family's 1533-position model. The record is from RNAcentral.